GGGCAGUUUCAGGGCAGUUUUGGCUUUGUUGUUGGGAAAUCCACUAGGCCUUCUAUAUUUCCGCUUGCGUCAGGCUUGUGUCCUUCCUCCGCCCCGCCCCCAAAUCACCUAGUCCCAGUCAUUUCAUGUGAAAAAGCGCUGAAUAUUAAAAAAAUAUAAAUAAAAAUAGAAGGCCUAGGUCUAGGCUGGGCUUUGUAAUCAUUUAUUUAAACCAGAGUAGCGAGCGAAACAUGACUGAUAUACCUGGUUGCAGUGAACGAAC
This is a non-coding RNA of Paramuricea clavata, 262 nucleotides long. The record is from the annotation of a GenBank genome assembly. NCBI's taxonomy places the organism in Eukaryota, Metazoa, Cnidaria, Anthozoa, Malacalcyonacea, Plexauridae.